AUGGAGAAUGCAUUGCUGAAGCUUUGGUCAAUGGUUGAAGAGAGCAAGUCUGCUAGGGUGAAUGAUAAUCUUCAAAGUGCUCUAACUAUUCAUCAGUUGAUAGAAGAAAAGAACAAGCUGGAUGCAGACUAUGACAAGUUAGUGAAAGAUGUGCAUCAACUUGUGGACUUUCAGCAGGAUAGGGUUGUGGAUUUCAGUUAUCUGCAGUCUGCUGUCACAUAUCAGCACCAAUGCAGAGCUGAAUUGGUGGCUGGUAUGAAUGCAGAAAUGGCAAAGAAAGAUGCAGCUGCACAGAAGCUUCAACAAAAGUAUGAACUCCUGUGCAACCUGACAAGUGCUCAAGCAACUGUCAUCCAAAACUUGAAGUUGAAGAAUAUGAAAGAGAAGGAAUUGUUGAGUGAGGGUAGGAUGAAUUUGGAGUUGAAGAAUGCAGAGUUCACAAAGUUUGAGGAGAAGCUCACCCAAGAGAAGCUAGAGUUGAAGCUCCAGGUUGCUGAUCUGCUGAAACUCAAGGAAAACCAUAAUGAAGAGAAGCAGAUGCAAGAGUUCAAGAUUACUGAGCUCAUCAAGGCAGAGGAGAAGCUGAAGGAGAAGAUCAAGGGGAUCCAGGCCAUCUUGCAGAACUGA
RNAcentral lists this ribosomal RNA (627 nucleotides) under Triticum aestivum (bread wheat). RNAcentral's name for it is "partial small subunit ribosomal RNA". The record is from RNAcentral. Lineage: Eukaryota; Viridiplantae; Streptophyta; Magnoliopsida; Poales; Poaceae.